This 1298-nucleotide ribosomal RNA is filed under the name metagenome. RNAcentral's name for it is "bacterial SSU rRNA". It matches the Rfam family "Bacterial small subunit ribosomal RNA", at positions 209 to 1498 of the family's 1533-position model. The record is from RNAcentral.
GGCCUUGCGCUGAUUGAGCGGCCGAUAUCAGAUUAGCUAGUUGGUGAGGUAAAAGCUCACCAAGGCGACGAUCUGUAGCGGGUCUGAGAGGAUGAUCCGCCACACUGGAACUGAGACACGGUCCAGACUCCUACGGGAGGCAGCAGUGGGGAAUUUUGGACAAUGGGGGCAACCCUGAUCCAGCCAUGCCGCGUGAGUGAAGAAGGCCUUCGGGUUGUAAAGCUCUUUCAGCCGGGAAGAAAAUGCAUGGGUUAAUACCCUGUGCAGAUGACGGUACCGGAAUAAGAAGCACCGGCUAACUACGUGCCAGCAGCCGCGGUAAUACGUAGGGUGCGAGCGUUAAUCGGAAUUACUGGGCGUAAAGCGUGCGCAGGCGGUUUUGUAAGACAGGCGUGAAAUCCCCGGGCUUAACCUGGGAACUGCGUUUGUGACUGCAAGGCUAGAGUACGGCAGAGGGGGGUGGAAUUCCACGUGUAGCAGUGAAAUGCGUAGAGAUGUGGAGGAACACCAAUGGCGAAGGCAGCCCCCUGGGUCGAUACUGACGCUCAUGCACGAAAGCGUGGGUAGCAAACAGGAUUAGAUACCCUGGUAGUCCACGCCCUAAACGAUGUCAACUAGGUGUUGGGAGGGUAAAACCUUUUAGUACCGUAGCUAACGCGAGAAGUUGACCGCCUGGGGAGUACGGCCGCAAGGUUAAAACUCAAAGGAAUUGACGGGGACCCGCACAAGCGGUGGAUGAUGUGGAUUAAUUCGAUGCAACGCGAAAAACCUUACCUACCCUUGACAUGUCAGGAACCUUCCAGAGAUGGAUUGGUGCCCGAAAGGGAACCUGAACACAGGUGCUGCAUGGCUGUCGUCAGCUCGUGUCGUGAGAUGUUGGGUUAAGUCCCGCAACGAGCGCAACCCUUGUCGUUAAUUGCCAUCAUUCAGUUGGGCACUUUAACGAGACUGCCGGUGACAAACCGGAGGAAGGUGGGGAUGACGUCAAGUCCUCAUGGCCCUUAUGGGUAGGGCUUCACACGUCAUACAAUGGUCGGUACAAAGGGUCGCCAACCCGCGAGGGGGAGCUAAUCCCAUAAAGCCGAUCGUAGUCCGGAUUGUAGGCUGCAACUCGCCUGCAUGAAGUCGGAAUCGCUAGUAAUCGUGGAUCAGCAUGUCACGGUGAAUACGUUCCCGGGUCUUGUACACACCGCCCGUCACACCAUGGGAGCGGGUUCCGCCAGAAGUAGGUAGCCUAACCGCAAGGGGGGCGCUUACCACGGCGGGGUUCGUGACUGGGGUGAAGUCGUAACAAGGUA